CAGGGAAGCAGAUCUCGUUGUUGUGAACGACGCUGAAGAACAGAGGUUCUUCUGCAACUUCACCAAAGUGGAAACAUGGAGUUGGAUUGGUUUGACCAAAAGAGAAACUGAGGGAACCUGGAAAUGGAUGGAUGGAACUUCACUGAAUCUAAGGUUCUGGGAGACGGGGCAGCCUGAUAACGGUGGCGAGUUUCCACAGUGGGAUAAAGAAGACUGUGCGUAUAUCAAAAGUGGCAGGAGCACAGAGGAAAACUGGAACGACUGGUCAUGUGAUGCCUCUCUGAGAUGGAUCUGUGAGAAAAUGGCUUAGGCGUGUAGCAUAUUUACUGUACAUGCAUCUAGAUCCAACAGUUUAUCGUAUUAUCACUGUACACCAAAAGCACCACAAAAACCCUGCUUCGUUGUUCUUUGUUCCUGUUUUUAUUUUGUAAAGCUCUUUUGUUGGUGUUUCAUGUCCUGCUUCACUUCCUGUCUGUGUUUUCCCUCCGAUUGUGAUUGGUUUCUCAAUGUGUUCCUCUCUCUAUAUCUAAAGUCCUGCCUUUCUGUUGUCUGAUUAGUUUGGUGUAUGUUGUUACCUUCAUUGAAAUUGUCCCUAGUUCCCUUUGAGUUUCAUCUAGUUUCUAUUUUUAUUUUUUUUUGCGAAACCCUGCAGGCUGCAGCGCUUCUUGUUCCAGACUUUGUAAGUGUAAAUAAAGUGGUUUUGUUUACUUUUCUUCUGUCUACGUUUGGUAAUAUAUAUAUUACUUUGUAAU
Molecule: long non-coding RNA, 752 nt
Organism: Mugil cephalus (flathead mullet)
Lineage: Eukaryota; Metazoa; Chordata; Actinopteri; Mugiliformes; Mugilidae
Exons: 3
Source: RefSeq, a predicted model, not a curated record